Molecule: unclassified non-coding RNA, 397 nt
Filed under: uncultured Glomeromycotina
Lineage: Eukaryota; Fungi; Glomeromycota
Description: sequence contains 28S rRNA gene
Source: RNAcentral
AAAGUCAAAUAGUACGUGAAAUUGUUGAAAGGGAAACGAUUGAAGUCAGUCAUACCGACGGGUAAUCAGCCUUUUGGGUGCGAUUAUGUGGUACAUGAAAAGAUUUUGUGAAUUGCAUAUUUGUGUCUUUUGGGUGUAUUUGCUCGUAUGGUAGGUUAACAUCAAUUUUGGUCGUCAUAAAAUGGCGGGAGGAAUGUAGCUUCCCCGGAAGUGUUAUAGCCUCUGGUAGAUGUGAUGAUCGGGAUUGAGGAUUGCAACGAAUACCUAUUGGGCUACCCGCCUGAUCUCUGGUCGUCGCUUUGGUACUGAAAGCGUGCUUAUGGUUUCAAAGUUAGGUGGCCAAAAGGUUAGAACGGGUUAAAUUCGUUAAGGAUGUUGACGUAAUGACUUUAAACGA